This 2930-nucleotide ribosomal RNA is filed under the name Escherichia coli. RNAcentral describes it as "23S ribosomal RNA". It matches the Rfam family "Bacterial large subunit ribosomal RNA". The record is from RNAcentral. Lineage: Bacteria; Pseudomonadati; Pseudomonadota; Gammaproteobacteria; Enterobacterales; Enterobacteriaceae.
GGGUUGUGAGGUUAAGCGACUAAGCGUACACGGUGGAUGCCCUGGCAGUCAGAGGCGAUGAAGGACGUGCUAAUCUGCGAUAAGCGUCGGUAAGGUGAUAUGAACCGUUAUAACCGGCGAUUUCCGAAUGGGGAAACCCAGUGUGAUUCGUCACACUAUCAUUAACUGAAUCCAUAGGUUAAUGAGGCGAACCGGGGGAACUGAAACAUCUAAGUACCCCGAGGAAAAGAAAUCAACCGAGAUUCCCCCAGUAGCGGCGAGCGAACGGGGAGCAGCCCAGAGCCUGAAUCAGUGUGUGUGUUAGUGGAAGCGUCUGGAAAGGCGCGCGAUACAGGGUGACAGCCCCGUACACAAAAAUUCACAUGCUGUGAGCUCGAUGAGUAGGGCGGGACACGUGGUAUCCUGUCUGAAUAUGGGGGGACCAUCCUCCAAGGCUAAAUACUCCUGACUGACCGAUAGUGAACCAGUACCGUGAGGGAAAGGCGAAAAGAACCCCGGCGAGGGGAGUGAAAAAGAACCUGAAACCGUGUACGUACAAGCAGUGGGAGCACGCUUAGGCGUGUGACUGCGUACCUUUUGUAUAAUGGGUCAGCGACUUAUAUUCUGUAGCAAGGUUAACCGAAUAGGGGAGCCGAAGGGAAACCGAGUCUUAACUGGGCGUUAAGUUGCAGGGUAUAGACCCGAAACCCGGUGAUCUAGCCAUGGGCAGGUUGAAGGUUGGGUAACACUAACUGGAGGACCGAACCGACUAAUGUUGAAAAAUUAGCGGAUGACUUGUGGCUGGGGGUGAAAGGCCAAUCAAACCGGGAGAUAGCUGGUUCUCCCCGAAAGCUAUUUAGGUAGCGCCUCGUGAAUUCAUCUCCGGGGGUAGAGCACUGUUUCGGCAAGGGGGUCAUCCCGACUUACCAACCCGAUGCAAACUGCGAAUACCGGAGAAUGUUAUCACGGGAGACACACGGCGGGUGCUAACGUCCGUCGUGAAGAGGGAAACAACCCAGACCGCCAGCUAAGGUCCCAAAGUCAUGGUUAAGUGGGAAACGAUGUGGGAAGGCCCAGACAGCCAGGAUGUUGGCUUAGAAGCAGCCAUCAUUUAAAGAAAGCGUAAUAGCUCACUGGUCGAGUCGGCCUGCGCGGAAGAUGUAACGGGGCUAAACCAUGCACCGAAGCUGCGGCAGCGACGCUUAUGCGUUGUUGGGUAGGGGAGCGUUCUGUAAGCCUGUGAAGGUGUGCUGUGAGGCAUGCUGGAGGUAUCAGAAGUGCGAAUGCUGACAUAAGUAACGAUAAAGCGGGUGAAAAGCCCGCUCGCCGGAAGACCAAGGGUUCCUGUCCAACGUUAAUCGGGGCAGGGUGAGUCGACCCCUAAGGCGAGGCCGAAAGGCGUAGUCGAUGGGAAACAGGUUAAUAUUCCUGUACUUGGUGUUACUGCGAAGGGGGGACGGAGAAGGCUAUGUUGGCCGGGCGACGGUUGUCCCGGUUUAAGCGUGUAGGCUGGUUUUCCAGGCAAAUCCGGAAAAUCAAGGCUGAGGCGUGAUGACGAGGCACUACGGUGCUGAAGCAACAAAUGCCCUGCUUCCAGGAAAAGCCUCUAAGCAUCAGGUAACAUCAAAUCGUACCCCAAACCGACACAGGUGGUCAGGUAGAGAAUACCAAGGCGCUUGAGAGAACUCGGGUGAAGGAACUAGGCAAAAUGGUGCCGUAACUUCGGGAGAAGGCACGCUGAUAUGUAGGUGAAGUCCCUCGCGGAUGGAGCUGAAAUCAGUCGAAGAUACCAGCUGGCUGCAACUGUUUAUUAAAAACACAGCACUGUGCAAACACGAAAGUGGACGUAUACGGUGUGACGCCUGCCCGGUGCCGGAAGGUUAAUUGAUGGGGUCAGCGCAAGCGAAGCUCUUGAUCGAAGCCCCGGUAAACGGCGGCCGUAACUAUAACGGUCCUAAGGUAGCGAAAUUCCUUGUCGGGUAAGUUCCGACCUGCACGAAUGGCGUAAUGAUGGCCAGGCUGUCUCCACCCGAGACUCAGUGAAAUUGAACUCGCUGUGAAGAUGCAGUGUACCCGCGGCAAGACGGAAAGACCCCGUGAACCUUUACUAUAGCUUGACACUGAACAUUGAGCCUUGAUGUGUAGGAUAGGUGGGAGGCUUAGAAGUGUGGACGCCAGUCUGCAUGGAGCCGACCUUGAAAUACCACCCUUUAAUGUUUGAUGUUCUAACGUUGACCCGUAAUCCGGGUUGCGGACAGUGUCUGGUGGGUAGUUUGACUGGGGCGGUCUCCUCCUAAAGAGUAACGGAGGAGCACGAAGGUUGGCUAAUCCUGGUCGGACAUCAGGAGGUUAGUGCAAUGGCAUAAGCCAGCUUGACUGCGAGCGUGACGGCGCGAGCAGGUGCGAAAGCAGGUCAUAGUGAUCCGGUGGUUCUGAAUGGAAGGGCCAUCGCUCAACGGAUAAAAGGUACUCCGGGGAUAACAGGCUGAUACCGCCCAAGAGUUCAUAUCGACGGCGGUGUUUGGCACCUCGAUGUCGGCUCAUCACAUCCUGGGGCUGAAGUAGGUCCCAAGGGUAUGGCUGUUCGCCAUUUAAAGUGGUACGCGAGCUGGGUUUAGAACGUCGUGAGACAGUUCGGUCCCUAUCUGCCGUGGGCGCUGGAGAACUGAGGGGGGCUGCUCCUAGUACGAGAGGACCGGAGUGGACGCAUCACUGGUGUUCGGGUUGUCAUGCCAAUGGCACUGCCCGGUAGCUAAAUGCGGAAGAGAUAAGUGCUGAAAGCAUCUAAGCACGAAACUUGCCCCGAGAUGAGUUCUCCCUGACUCCUUGAGAGUCCUGAAGGAACGUUGAAGACGACGACGUUGAUAGGCCGGGUGUGUAAGCGCAGCGAUGCGUUGAGCUAACCGGUACUAAUGAACCGUGAGGCUUAACCUUACAACGCCGAAGCUGUU